CACCAACAUGCCCUUUGUAGGAAAUACCCAUCAGGGAAAGUCCUUUGGGAAUUUAAGUGGCUGUAAAUAUAAUUUGAAACCUAUGACUACCAUUGAAAAAAAGAGUUUUAGUAUGGGUUUGAAAAAUGGGCGACGCCCCUCCUUUUGUUUUUUUGCAACCGGAACUUAGAAUGAAGAUGAAUGUGCUAUAUUUUCCUCGCGGGAGAUUGUGCAUGGCUCAACCACUGAUAGAAUAGAAAGAAGCUCAGAAAAUAGAAAGACCCACGCAAGAUUAAAUGUGGUGGAGGGCGGAGGUCUCGCAGCCUGGGAAAGUAAGCUGCUUUGGCUCUGGUGGCGCUGCAGCUGACACAGAUGUUCGAUGACCGUAUCAGAUGAUGCUGAUUGAAGCGGUCGGCUGCUCCACCGUGGUGCAUUUCACAUUGACCUCUGCACGCACAGAGACCGGGCCGGCAGAAAGGCAAGAUUGUCUGAACUGUGCGCGUGCGCGUUGCCUACGUCCUGCCAAUCACCCGGACUCUGCCAACAGGCCCACCUGUGAGCAAUCAGCGCAUCACCUCUCCCGCUUCGGUCCACCACACGCUUGGCUACAACCUUUGCGUCGUCUCUCCUGCAUAUCAACCGCGGCUCUUCUCCCACUCCA
This is a long non-coding RNA of Gasterosteus aculeatus aculeatus (three-spined stickleback), 640 nucleotides long. The record is from Ensembl. NCBI's taxonomy places the organism in Eukaryota, Metazoa, Chordata, Actinopteri, Perciformes, Gasterosteidae.